This 468-nucleotide ribosomal RNA is filed under the name uncultured bacterium. RNAcentral's name for it is "partial 16S ribosomal RNA". It matches the Rfam family "Bacterial small subunit ribosomal RNA", at positions 28 to 507 of the family's 1533-position model. The record is from RNAcentral.
GACGAACGCUGGCGGCGUGCUUAACACAUGCAAGUCGAACGGAAAGGCCCUGCUUUUGUUGGGUGCUCGAUUGGCGAACGGGUGAGUAACACGUGAGUAACCUGCCCUUGACUUUGGGAUAACUUCAGGAAACUGCGGCGAAUACCGGAUAUGAGCUCCUGCUGCGUGGUGGUGGUUGGAAAGUUUCGGCGGUUGGGGAUAGACUCGCGGCUUAUGCGCUAGUUUGGGGAGUAGUUGCUUACCAAGGCUUUGACGGCUAGCCGACAUGAGAGGGUGAACGGCCACAAUGGGACUGAGAUACGGCGCAGAAUCCAACGGGAGGCAACAGUGGAGAAUCUUGCGCAGUAGGACGAAGCCUGAUGCAAAAAUGCCCCGUGCGGGAUGACGGGGUUCGAGUUGUGAACAGAUUUCGACUGUGACGAAGCGUGCUUGACGGUAAUGGGUCAAGAAGCAGCGGCUAACUACGUG